Long non-coding RNA from Mesoplodon densirostris (Blainville's beaked whale), 342 nucleotides. RefSeq lists it as uncharacterized. The transcript has 3 exons. NCBI's taxonomy places the organism in Eukaryota, Metazoa, Chordata, Mammalia, Artiodactyla, Ziphiidae. The record is from RefSeq and is a predicted model, not a curated record.
GACUCUCAAGGCUUUCGCGCGGGGCCGUGGAGCUUUCGCCGGCUGGUCUACUGCCGGGCGGGGCCGGCGAGACAGGCGCCCGGCCUCACCUGGCUUCCCUGUAGCUGCUUCUCCCUCUUGCGAUCGUUGGCGAGGCGGAGUCAUGUUUCCACAUUCAGAACGGGACAUGUGCCUUUGGAGUCAUGAACUGCUGUGAAAGAAGUCCUGUGACCUUGAAGCUACCAUUUGGAGAGACUUCAUGGAGAGGCCGUUGGAGAGGAGAAGCUGCUAGCCAAUAGCAGGCAUCAAAUGCCUGACAUAGGAUGGAUUUGGAAGAGAUCAAGGAAUCGUCUCACUUUAAGG